CUACGGGUUGCUCCAGUAAGGAAUAUUGCGCAAUGGAGGCAACUCUGACGCAGCCAUGCCGCGUGCAGGAAGAAGGCCUUAUGGGUCGUAAACUGCUUUUAUUUAGGAAUAAACCCUCGCUCGUGAGCGAGGCUGAAGGUACUGAAUGAAUAAGCACCGGCUAACUCCGUGCCAGCAGCCGCGGUAAUACGGAGGGUGCAAGCGUUAUCCGGAUUUAUUGGGUUUAAAGGGUGCGCAGGCGGGCUAUUAAGUCAGUGGCGAAAUCCCGGGGCUCAACUCCGGAACUGCCAUUGAUACUGAUAGUCUUGAGUUUGGUUGAAGUGGGCGGAAUGUAGCAUGUAGCGGUGAAAUGCAUAGAUAUGCUACAGAACACCAAUCGCGAAGGCAGCUCACUAAGCCAAAACUGACGCUCAUGCACGAAAGCGUGGGGAUCAAACAGGAUUAGAUACCCGCGUAGUC
RNAcentral lists this ribosomal RNA (459 nucleotides) under uncultured bacterium. Its description in RNAcentral is "partial 16S ribosomal RNA". It matches the Rfam family "Bacterial small subunit ribosomal RNA", at positions 339 to 795 of the family's 1533-position model. The record is from RNAcentral.